GUGAAUGAAAGUAGUGUUUUAAAAAAUCUCUUCUAUAAAAUUAGUACAAGUUCACAGCACGUUGUCACAUGAUUGAAAAGACUUUCAGCUGUGUGAUCUUUACCUACUUUCCUGUUUUUUCUACCUGGGAAUUUGCAAUGGAGCUAGUCCAGAAACUUUCCGAUAGCACCUCAUAUAAUACUAAUGAAUUAAUAGCAGAAAUUUUGUUGUCUGCUACUAAAUGGGAAAAAUCAAAAUGCCAGAUCAGGAAGUGGAAAUGGCAUGCAUUCUGGCCACCAUGAUUUCAUCAGAUAAUUAUUUACAUAACUUUCAUUUCCAGAUUAUGCCUAAGAUAGUAAUUUAUCUGUAUAAAAGCUUAUCUACUUAUCUGCCUCAAUGAUUAUGAUG
This 387-nucleotide long non-coding RNA is filed under the name Androctonus crassicauda. The record is from RNAcentral. Lineage: Eukaryota; Metazoa; Arthropoda; Arachnida; Scorpiones; Buthidae.